CAGUAGCCGCGGUAAUACGUAGGUGGCAAGCGUUAUCCGGAAUUAUUGGGCGUAAAGCGCGCGUAGGCGGUUUUUUAAGUCUGAUGUGAAAGCCCACGGCUCAACCCGGGAAGUGCAUUUGAAACUGGCUAUCUUGAGUGCAGUAGAGGAAGGUGGAAUUCCAAGUGUAGUGGUGAAAUAUGUAGAUAUUUGGAGGAACAUCGGUGGCGAAGGCGACCUUCUGGACUGUUACUGACGCUGAGAUCCGAAAGCGUGGGGAUCAAACAGGAUUAGAUACCCGGGUAGUCCCUGUCUCUUAUAC
Molecule: ribosomal RNA, 301 nt
Filed under: uncultured bacterium
Lineage: Bacteria
Description: partial 16S ribosomal RNA
Rfam family: Bacterial small subunit ribosomal RNA
Source: RNAcentral